This 433-nucleotide ribosomal RNA is filed under the name uncultured bacterium. RNAcentral's name for it is "partial 16S ribosomal RNA". It matches the Rfam family "Bacterial small subunit ribosomal RNA", at positions 29 to 507 of the family's 1533-position model. The record is from RNAcentral.
AGCGAACGCUGGCGGCAGGCCUAACACAUGCAAGUCGAACGAACUCUUCGGAGUUAGUGGCGGACGGGUGAGUAACACGUGGGAACGUGCCUUUUGGUUCGGAAUAACUCAGGGAAACUUGUGCUAAUACCGAAUGUGCCCUUCGGGGGAAAGAUUUAUCGCCAUUAGAGCGGCCCGCGUCUGAUUAGCUAGUUGGUGAGGUAACGGCUCACCAAGGCGACGAUCAGUAGCUGGUCUGAGAGGAUGACCAGCCACACUGGGACUGAGACACGGCCCAGACUCCUACGGGAGGCAGCAGUGGGGAAUCUUGCGCAAUGGGCGAACGCCUGACGCAGCCAUGCCGCGUGAAUGAUGAAGGUCUUAGGAUUGUAAAAUUCUUUCACCGGGGACGAUAAUGACGGUACCCGGAGAAGAAGCCCCGGCUAACUUCGUG